GUAUGGAAGGACUGUAAGGUGUACAUGUCCAACUGGCAGGUGUCAUCUGAACUUGACCUCAUUUUCAUGGUUCAGUGGUAAGUUAUAUUAAUCUGAAGAUCUGUUUACUUUUUUGUGAUGAUUCUUUAUCUUAUUUUAGAGUGAUCAUGUUUAUUAAAAAUACAUGUUGUGCCGUAUCUCAGAAACUAUUUAUGAUUAUUCCAUAAAUCUUCACACACUUUUUAGUUAUAUUAAAACCACAAAAGGAAGAUUCAGAUUUUUUUUUUUGGUGGUGAUGGUCCAAACUGUUUAGGAAUUACGGGCCAAGACCAGUAUUUUUCUAUCUAUAUCUAUAUAGUCAAUCUAGACUUCAAAAAAAGAGUGACGAAAGAUACCAGAGGAACAGUCAAACUUAUAAAUCAACUAAAAUAAAUUGACAACAUGCACCUGGCUAAAAAUAAAAAAGACAAACAAUAGAACACAUGACACAACAUAGGAAAAUAAAGAAUAAGCAACACGAAUCCCAUCAAAAAUUGGGGGUCAUCUCAGGUGCUCCGGAAUGGUAAGCAGAUUCUGCUCCACAUGUGGCACCCGUCAUGUUGCUUAUGUAAUAACAAGUCCGGUAAAUAGUCUAAUUUGGUAGGUCACAUUCAUGAAAGGGAAGGGGAUUGUAGUAACAACAUAAGGAACAUAUCCGAUAUCAUUUGUGAAACAGUUAUUUCAUAACUUCAACUUAUUAAUACCUCAAGUAGAAGGUUGCAUUGGGAUUUUCACACCAAAAUGUAUGUCGCUUGAAAAAUGUCUCACUGAGUCAUGAAAUGUUUACAGAUAUGGUGUGUCUGAAUGAUCUUGAUGUGAAUGUUUCUUUAAAUUUAAUUUCUUAUUGUCUGUUGAUAAGUUUAUCUUGCUGUUAAAAAGUGUUAUACAAUAGUAUAUAUACAUGUGUAUAUAUUUAAAAAACUGACUGCAUGACAAAUCUCAAGUGACUUAAGAAAAUAAUGUGAUUCUAAUUGUCUAGUUUAUUGAAAUAUUUUCUUCUUUUUUC
RNAcentral lists this long non-coding RNA (1024 nucleotides) under Mytilus galloprovincialis (Mediterranean mussel). Lineage: Eukaryota; Metazoa; Mollusca; Bivalvia; Mytilida; Mytilidae. The record is from RNAcentral.